CUCUAUUGGAGUAGCUCACUCUAGAGACUUUCUUGAACAACACACAGACUCUGGGAAAGGCUGACUUCAGGUUGUACAUAUUUUAACUUGAGAACAAUUCCAAAUAACACUUGCCUUACAUAUGGGUGACAAAUAGAUUCAAGGGAUUAGAUCUGAUAGACAGAGUGCCUGAAGAACUAUGGACAGAGGUUCAUGACAUUGUUCUGGAGCCAGGGAUCAAGGCCAUCCCCAAGAAAAAGAAAUGCAAAAAGGCAAAAUGGCUGUCUGAGGAGGCCUUACAAAUAGCUGAGGAAAGAAGAGAAGCUAAAGGCAAGGGAGAAAAGGAAAGAUACACCCAUUUGAAUGCAGAGGUCCAAAGAAUAGCAAAGAGAAGUAAAAAAGCCUUCCUCAGUGAUCAAUGCAAAGAAAUAGAGGAAAACAACAAAAUGGGGAAAACUAGAGAUCUCUUCAAGAAAAUUAGAGAUACCAAGGGAACAUUUCAUGCAAAGAUGGGC
This 494-nucleotide long non-coding RNA is filed under the name Ovis aries (sheep). Its description in RNAcentral is "lncRNA (ENSOARG00000026127.1)". Lineage: Eukaryota; Metazoa; Chordata; Mammalia; Artiodactyla; Bovidae. The record is from RNAcentral.